GUCCCCAUGUGUGAGGACACUCGAGUAGCCCAACAGAGAGAUCCAUCUGGUGAGAUACUGAAGAAUCAACUAGACAGCCAUGUGGGUGCGCCAUCUUCUAAACAGAUCCUCCAGCCCCAGAUGAGCCUGCAUGUGACUGCAGUCUUGGCUGACAUCUUGACAACAACCUCAUGAGAGACCCUGAGCCAGAACCACUCACCUCAGUCUCCCUUGAGCUCAUGGCCUACCGGGUAUUGUUGCCUUCAGCUGCUAAAUUUUGAGUGUUAUGUGGAAGCUUGUGUCAUAUUACCGUUCAUUAAACCAUUCACUGAUUCCACAGAUAUUUGUUGAGUACCUGCUACAUAUGCCCAAGGUGCACAUUAAGAAGUUGAAAGACUCACCAGAAAAUUUAAAAAAGAAAAGGCUAUACCUACUGGCUUACUUCUGAUUGCUUUGCCACUUACUAGUCGUGUCAUCUUCUUCAAUAUGUCUUUGUUCAAUGACUGAACGACUGAAUGAACACAUGACGAGAAAGAGACUUUUGAACCUGUGGAGUCCAGAGGCUGUGAAAUGAGAUGUGCAACCCCAGGACAAGUGGCUCAGACCAUUUAUCUAUCAGAGGAUUCAUGGAAAGGACUCAGUGUUUACCAGGAUACUUCCAAGGUGCCCUAUCCGUAUAGAGUGGAACUUUAAAACCGGAGAAAAAGUCCAACGAAAUAAGUCAAGUGGAAUAUGUUGUCUUCUACCAUAUUUAGGCAGAGAUCUUGACUAAUUAAUCUUCAAAGAAGUGAAAAUAAUCUACUCUUGAACUUAAUUAUGCAAAUAAAACAAUUCUAAUUUCGGAAA
This 825-nucleotide long non-coding RNA is filed under the name Equus caballus (horse). RNAcentral describes it as "lncRNA (ENSECAG00000036529.3)". Lineage: Eukaryota; Metazoa; Chordata; Mammalia; Perissodactyla; Equidae. The record is from RNAcentral.